RNAcentral lists this ribosomal RNA (346 nucleotides) under uncultured bacterium. Its description in RNAcentral is "bacterial SSU rRNA". It matches the Rfam family "Bacterial small subunit ribosomal RNA", at positions 8 to 349 of the family's 1533-position model. The record is from RNAcentral.
AGAGUUUGAUCAUGGCUCAGGAUGAACGCUAGCUACAGGCUUAACACAUGCAAGUCGAGGGGCAGCAUGUUGGUUGCUUGCAACCAACGAUGGCGACCGGCGCACGGGUGAGUAACGCGUAUCCAACCUACCCUUGUCCAUCGGAUAACCCGUCGAAAGGCGGCCUAACACGAUAUGCGGUUCACAGCAGGCAUCUAACGUGAACGAAAUGUAAAGGAGAAGGAUGGGGAUGCGUCUGAUUAGCUUGUUGGCGGGGUAACGCCACAGGCUACGAUCAGUAGGGGUUCUGGAGAGGAAGGUCCCCCANAUUGGAACUGAGACACGGUCCAAACUCCGUACGGGAGCA